GUGUGACUGCGUACCUUUUGUAUAAUGGGUCAGCGACUUAUAUUCUGUAGCAAGGUUAACCGAAUAGGGGAGCCGAAGGGAAACCGAGUCUUAACUGGGCGUUAAGUUGCAGGGUAUAGACCCGAAACCCGGUGAUCUAGCCAUGGGCAGGUUGAAGGUUGGGUAACACUAACUGGAGGACCGAACCGACUAAUGUUGAAAAAUUAGCGGAUGACUUGUGGCUGGGGGUGAAAGGCCAAUCAAACCGGGAGAUAGCUGGUUCUCCCCGAAAGCUAUUUAGGUAGCGCCUCGUGAAUUCAUCUCCGGGGGUAGAGCACUGUUUCGGCAAGGGGGUCAUCCCGACUUACCAACCCGAUGCAAACUGCGAAUACCGGAGAAUGUUAUCACGGGAGACACACGGCGGGUGCUAACGUCCGUCGUGAAGAGGGAAACAACCCAGACCGCCAGCUAAGGUCCCAAAGUCAUGGUUAAGUGGGAAACGAUGUGGGAAGGCCCAGACAGCCAGGAUGUUGGCUUAGAAGCAGCCAUCAUUUAAAGAAAGCGUAAUAGCUCACUGGUCGAGUCGGCCUGCGCGGAAGAUGUAACGGGGCUAAACCAUGCACCGAAGCUGCGGCAGCGACGCUUAUGCGUUGUUGGGUAGGGGAGCGUUCUGUAAGCCUGUGAAGGUGUACUGUGAGGUAUGCUGGAGGUAUCAGAAGUGCGAAUGCUGACAUAAGUAACGAUAAAGCGGGUGAAAAGCCCGCUCGCCGGAAGACCAAGGGUUCCUGUCCAACGUUAAUCGGGGCAGGGUGAGUCGACCCCUAAGGCGAGGCCGAAAGGCGUAGUCGAUGGGAAACAGGUUAAUAUUCCUGUACUUGGUGUUACUGCGAAGGGGGGACGGAGAAGGCUAUGUUGGCCGGGCGACGGUUGUCCCGGUUUAAGCGUGUAGGCUGGUUUUCCAGGCAAAUCCGGAAAAUCAAGGCUGAGGCGUGAUGACGAGGCACUACGGUGCUGAAGCAACAAAUGCCCUGCUUCCAGGAAAAGCCUCUAAGCAUCAGGUAACAUCAAAUCGUACCCCAAACCGACACAGGUGGUCAGGUAGAGAAUACCAAGGCGCUUGAGAGAACUCGGGUGAAGGAACUAGGCAAAAUGGUGCCGUAACUUCGGGAGAAGGCACGCUGAUAUGUAGGUGAAG
This 1174-nucleotide ribosomal RNA is filed under the name Escherichia coli. RNAcentral describes it as "partial 23S ribosomal RNA". It matches the Rfam family "Bacterial large subunit ribosomal RNA", at positions 591 to 1767 of the family's 2925-position model. Lineage: Bacteria; Pseudomonadati; Pseudomonadota; Gammaproteobacteria; Enterobacterales; Enterobacteriaceae. The record is from RNAcentral.